Molecule: ribosomal RNA, 474 nt
Filed under: uncultured bacterium
Lineage: Bacteria
Description: SSU rRNA
Rfam family: Bacterial small subunit ribosomal RNA
Source: RNAcentral
AGGAUGAACGCUGGCGGCGUGCCUAACACAUGCAAGUCGAACGUCCUGUCUCGCAAGAGGCAGGGAGUGGCGGACGGGUGAGUACCACGUGGGUCAUCUACCGUGAGGUGAGGAAUACCGGCGAGAAAUCGCCGACAAGACCGCAUAGGCUCGAUGCAAGUCGAGCAAAGCUCUUUCGAGAUAGGGAGCGCCACACGAGGAGCCUGCGCCCGAUUAGCUAGCUGGUGGAGUAACGGUUCACCAGGGCGACGAUCGGUAGCUGGUCUGAGAGGACGAUCAGCCACACUGGGAUUGAGAACGGCCCAGACUCCUACGGGGGCAGCAGUGAGGAAUUUUCGUCAAUGGGGGCAACCCUGAACGAGCAACGCCGCGUGCAGGAAGAAGGUUUCGGAUCGUAAACUGCUUUUCUCGGGGAAGAGAACGGACGGUACCCGAGGAAUCAGCCCCGGCUAACUACGUGCCAGCAGCCGCGGU